This 327-nucleotide long non-coding RNA is filed under the name Drosophila guanche. The record is from RNAcentral. Lineage: Eukaryota; Metazoa; Arthropoda; Insecta; Diptera; Drosophilidae.
CUCUGAGCUAAGAUGUUCGUCUUUGAUGUAGUCUAAGGCUAUUGAAGUAUGUUCCGCAGUCAUAAUAGAUGAUAGCUUCUCCCUGUUGCACCUAUCUGUCUCUUUAUUGCUAUAAAAUAAGGGAAUCGCAUCUCUUGGUUCUUGACUGCCGUAAACUAUUCUAUUCCUAAGCAACUGAAUAUCUUCAGACGUCAUUUCGGCCGAUGCCAUGUUAUUUAGUGCGAUUGCAAAAGGUUGGUCAUCUUGCUGACGCAUAAUCUCUGUAAGUUCGAAAAACUUGAAGCUAUCCCAGAGACUAGAGCCAACCAUAGCACUGUAUGAUUUAAG